AUAGGUGGGAGGCUUUGAAGUGUGGACGCCAGUCUGCAUGGAGCCGACCUUGAAAUACCACCCUUUAAUGUUUGAUGUUCUAACGUUGACCCGUGAUCCGGGUUGCGGACAGUGUCUGGUGGGUAGUUUGACUGGGGCGGUCUCCUCCUAAAGAGUAACGGAGGAGCACGAAGGUUGGCUAAUCCUGGUCGGACAUCAGGAGGUUAGUGCAAUGGCAUAAGCCAGCUUGACUGCGAGCGUGACGGCGCGAGCAGGUGCGAAAGCAGGUCAUAGUGAUCCGGUGGUUCUGAAUGGAAGGGCCAUCGCUCAACGGAUAAAAGGUACUCCGGGGAUAACAGGCUGAUACCGCCCAAGAGUUCAUAUCGACGGCGGUGUUUGGCACCUCGAUGUCGGCUCAUCACAUCCUGGGGCUGAAGUAGGUCCCAAGGGUAUGGCUGUUCGCCAUUUAAAGUGGUACGCGAGCUGGGUUUAGAACGUCGUGAGACAGUUCGGUCCCUAUCUGCCGUGGGCGCUGGAGAACUGAGGGGGGCUGCUCCUAGUACGAGAGGACCGGAGUGGACGCAUCACUGGUGUUCGGGUUGUCAUGCCAAUGGCACUGCCCGGUAGCUAAAUGCGGAAGAGAUAAGUGCUGAAAGCAUCUAAGCACGAAACUUGCC
Molecule: ribosomal RNA, 656 nt
Filed under: Escherichia coli
Lineage: Bacteria; Pseudomonadati; Pseudomonadota; Gammaproteobacteria; Enterobacterales; Enterobacteriaceae
Description: partial 23S ribosomal RNA
Rfam family: Bacterial large subunit ribosomal RNA
Source: RNAcentral